UACGGAAGGCAGCAGGGGGAAUAUUGCACAAUGGGCGAAAGCCUGAUGCAGCUAUGCCGCGUGUAUGAAGAAGGCCUUAGGGUUGUAAAGUACUUUCAUCGGGGAGGAAAAAACAAAACUAAUAAUUUUAUUUCUUGACGUUACCCGAAAAAGAAGCACCGGCUAACUCCGUGCCAGCAGCCGCGGUAAUACGGAGGGUGCUAGCGUUAAUCAGAAUUACUGGGCGUAAAGAGCACGUAGGUGGUUUUUUAAGUCAGAUGUGAAAUCCCUGGGCUUAACCUAGGAACUGCAUUUUUGAAACUGAAAUACUAGAGUAUCGUAGAGGGAGGUAGAAUUCUAGGUGUAGCGGUGAAAUGCGUAGAUAUCUGGAGGAAUACCUGUGGCGAAAGCGGCCUCCUAAACGAAUACUGACACUGAGGGUGCGAAAGCGUGGGGAGCAAACAGGGAUUUAGAUACC
RNAcentral lists this ribosomal RNA (457 nucleotides) under uncultured bacterium. RNAcentral describes it as "bacterial SSU rRNA". It matches the Rfam family "Bacterial small subunit ribosomal RNA", at positions 340 to 786 of the family's 1533-position model. The record is from RNAcentral.